GGUGUAGGCGGCUUGGCAAGUCGGGUGUGAAAUCCCAGGGCUCAACCCUGGAACUGCAUUCGAAACUGCCUCGCUGGAGUCCCGGAGAGGAUGGCGGAAUUCCCGGUGUAGAGGUGAAAUUCGUAGAUAUCGGGAGGAACACCAGCGGCGAAGGCGGCCAUCUGGACGGUGACUGACGCUUAGACCCGAAAGCGUGGGUAGCGAACAGGAUUAGAUGCCCUGGUAGUCC
RNAcentral lists this ribosomal RNA (229 nucleotides) under uncultured bacterium. RNAcentral describes it as "partial 16S ribosomal RNA". It matches the Rfam family "Bacterial small subunit ribosomal RNA", at positions 568 to 796 of the family's 1533-position model. The record is from RNAcentral.